Molecule: ribosomal RNA, 675 nt
Filed under: uncultured cyanobacterium
Lineage: Bacteria; Bacillati; Cyanobacteriota
Description: bacterial SSU rRNA
Rfam family: Bacterial small subunit ribosomal RNA
Source: RNAcentral
GAAUUCGCCCUUGGGGAAUUUUCCGCAAUGGGCGAAAGCCUGACGGAGCAAGACCGCGUGGGGGAGGAAGGUUCUUGGAUUGUCAACCCCUUUUCUCAGGGAAGAACACAAUGACGGUACCUGAGGAAAAAGCAUCGGCUAACUCCGUGCCAGCAGCCGCGGUAAUACGGGGGAUGCAAGCGUUAUCCGGAAUGAUUGGGCGUAAAGAGUCCGUAGGUAGUCAUCCAAGUCUGCUGUUAAAGAGCGAGGCUUAACCUCGUAAAGGCAGUGGAAACUGGAAGACUAGAGUGUAGUAGGGGCAGAGGGAAUUCCUGGUGUAGCGGUGAAAUGCGUAGAUAUCAGGAAGAACACCGGUGGCGAAGGCGCUCUGCUGGGCUAUAACUGACACUGAGGGACGAAAGCUAGGGGAGCGAAUGGGAUUAGAUACCCCAGUAGUCCUAGCGGUAAACGAUGGAAACUAGGCGUAGCUCGUAUCGACCCGAGCUGUGCCGUAGCUAACGCGUUAAGUAUCCCGCCUGGGGAGUACGCACGCAAGUGUGAAACUCAAAGGAAUUGACGGGGGCCCGCACAAGCGGUGGAGUAUGUGGUUUAAUUCGAUGCAACGCGAAGAACCUUACCAAGGCUUGACAUGUCACGAAUCCUGUUGAAAGAUAGGAGUGCCUUCGGGAACGUGAA